This 23-nucleotide non-coding RNA is filed under the name Drosophila melanogaster (fruit fly). The record is from RNAcentral. RNAcentral also lists the same sequence under 1 other name. Lineage: Eukaryota; Metazoa; Arthropoda; Insecta; Diptera; Drosophilidae.
AACGCAUAUCGCAGUCCAAGCUG